GACGAACGCCGGCGGCGUGCUUAACACAUGCAAGUCGAGCGGAAAGGCCCUUUCGGGGGUACUCGAGCGGCGAACGGGUGAGUAACACGUGAGUAAUCUGCCCCUGGCUUUGGGAUAGCCACCGGAAACGGUGAUUAAUACCGGAUACGACCACUUCUCGCAUGGGAUGGUGGUGGAAAGUUUUUCGGCCAGGGAUGUGCUCGCGGCCUAUCAGCUUGAUGGUGAGGUAAUGGCUCGCCAUGGCUUCGACGGGUAGCCGGCCUGAGAGGGUGACCGGUCACACUGGGACUGAGACACGGCCCAGACUCCUACGGGAGGCAGCAGUGGGGAAUAUUGGACAAUGGGCGGAAGCCUGAUCCAGCAACGCCGCGUGAGGGAUGACGGCCUUCGGGUUGUAAACCUCUUUCAGCAGGGACGAAGCGCAAGUGACGGUACCUGCAGAAGAAGCACCGGCCAACUACGUGCCAGCCGCCGCGGUAA
RNAcentral lists this ribosomal RNA (480 nucleotides) under uncultured bacterium. RNAcentral's name for it is "partial 16S ribosomal RNA". It matches the Rfam family "Bacterial small subunit ribosomal RNA", at positions 28 to 523 of the family's 1533-position model. The record is from RNAcentral.